This 451-nucleotide ribosomal RNA is filed under the name uncultured bacterium. Its description in RNAcentral is "bacterial SSU rRNA". It matches the Rfam family "Bacterial small subunit ribosomal RNA", at positions 335 to 799 of the family's 1533-position model. The record is from RNAcentral.
ACUCCUACGGGAGGCAGCAGUGGGGAAUAUUGGACAAUGGGCGAAAGACCUGAUCCAGCAAUGCCGCGUGAGUGAUGAAGGCCUUAGGGUUGUAAAGCUCUUUUACCCGGGUAUGAUAAUGACAGUACCGGGAGAAUAAGCUCCGGCUAACUCCGUGCCAGCAGCCGCGGUAAUACGGAGGGAGCUAGCGUUAUUCGGAAUUACUGGGCGUAAAGCGCACGUAGGCGGCUUUGUAAGUUAGAGGUGAAAGCCUGGAGCUCAACUCCAGAAUUGCCUUUAAGACUGCAUCGCUUGAAUCCAGGAGAGGUGAGUGGAAUUCCGAGUGUAGAGGUGAAAUUCGUAGAUAUUCGGAAGAACACCAGUGGCGAAGGCGGCUCACUGGACUGGUAUUGACGCUGAGGUGCGAAAGCGUGGGGAGCAAACAGGAUUAGAUACCCCUGGUAGGAUAGCG